Molecule: long non-coding RNA, 796 nt
Filed under: Homo sapiens (human)
Lineage: Eukaryota; Metazoa; Chordata; Mammalia; Primates; Hominidae
Description: non-protein coding PVT1:29
Rfam family: Pvt1 oncogene conserved region 5 (bases 186-315)
Source: RNAcentral
AGGCGUGUGCCACAAAGCCUGGCUAAGUUUUGUAUUUUUAGUAGAGACGGGGUUUCACCAUGUUGGCCAGGUUGGUCUCGAACUCCUGACCUCAAGUGAUCCACUCACUUUGGCCUUUCAACGUGCUGGGAUUACAGGCGAGAGUCACCGCACCCGGACGACUCUGACAUUUUUGAAGAGUCCAGAAUCCUGUUACACCUGGGAUUUAGGCACUUUCAAUCUGAAAAAAUACAUAUCCUUUCAGCACUCUGGACGGACUUGAGAACUGUCCUUACGUGACCUAAAGCUGGAGUAUUUUGAGAUUGGAGAAUUAAGAGUGUGGGCACCCUGGCUUCAAGCUCACGAGAAACCAGGUCGGGAUUUAAACAAUGUUGGGUUAAAGCAAAGUUUCAUAAAGACAGAAUCAAGAAAAAAAGAAAGAGAAACCAAUCUAAGUGCCAUCCUCCCUGAGUUGCAUCUUACCUGAGUCUUCAGCCGCCGCCCCCUGCUGCUGUGGGAGGAAACGGGAAAGUGACUGGCCAUGGGGACAGGGGUCGGGGGUGUGAGGGUUAGUGGUAGCAGGGAGGUAGCACUUCUGUGAAGCCGGAAAGGAGACCUGAACCUGGCUCUCUGCUUUGCUGCUUGCCAGCCCUCUGGCUGGGAAGAAGGCUCUUGGCUCUUGUGAGCCUCGGUUUCCUCUGCAGAGUGGCCUGUUCUGAGGACAGGCUGACAUUGCUGUCCAUCAGUCUUCCAGGACCCUGAGGAUUUCAGCUCUACCCAUGGGCACUGAACUGGAACAUUCACUGGUCAUUUGCUU